GCUGGGGGUCGGGACCGGCUGGGCCAGGGCUGGGGUCGGAGGGGAGCGAGCGGAGCGGAGCGCAGCCGGGAACGGGGACCUGGCAGGGAGCCCGCCGCCGGCCCGGGAGGCACGGAGCCCGCGGCCCCAGCUCGCCAGCC
RNAcentral lists this microRNA precursor (140 nucleotides) under Myotis lucifugus (little brown bat). RNAcentral's name for it is "miRNA (ENSMLUG00000030559.1)". The record is from RNAcentral. Lineage: Eukaryota; Metazoa; Chordata; Mammalia; Chiroptera; Vespertilionidae.